UCGUAUAAAGUUCUAAAUAGAAAAAUGAUUAUGACAAUUUUCUAUUUAUAAGUCUUGACCAAAUUACGUGCCAGCAGUCGCGGUAACACGUAGAAGACUAGUGUUAUUCAUCUUUAUUAGGUUUAAAGGGUACCUAGACGGAAAGUCAAGCCAUAAUAGGGACUAAUUUUCUAGAGUUUUAUAAAAGAAGGGGCGAAUUUCCGGAGGAAAGUUGAUAUUUUAUGAUACUGGAAGGACGGGUAACGGCGAAGGCAACCUUUUAUGUAAAAACUGACGUUGAGGGACGAAGCCUUGGGUAACGAGAAGGAUUAGAUACCCUAGUAGUCCUUGGAGAAAAUUAUGAAUGCCAUAUAUAAAUGAAAGUGAAAGCAUUCCACCUCAUGAGUAAAGCGGCAACGCCCAAAUUGAAAUCAUUAGACCGUUUCUGAAACCAGUAGUGAAGUAUGUUAUUUAAUUCGAUGAUCCGCGAAUAACCUUACCACACAAGUGCUGCACGGCUGUCUUCAGUUAAUGUCGUGAGAUUUUGGUUUGUUCCAUAAAUUAACGAAAACCC
RNAcentral lists this ribosomal RNA (553 nucleotides) under Pleostigma jungermannicola. RNAcentral's name for it is "SSU rRNA". It matches the Rfam family "Bacterial small subunit ribosomal RNA", at positions 421 to 1105 of the family's 1533-position model. The record is from RNAcentral. Lineage: Eukaryota; Fungi; Ascomycota; Eurotiomycetes; Pleostigmataceae.